CAAACAAUUCUCUAACAACAACUCAAGAGGGCUAAAUUAUGGGCUGGCCAGUUCCCAUAACGUCGCAUUCCUCAAGCGCCAGAAAGUUAGGAUUAGAGUUUACAUCGCCACGCCGCGUCUGCGAAUCCCAAAUAAAAUUCUUUUGUUUUUUGUAUAAGUACUUAUUUUUUGUCGGAAGCGACCGGUGAGAUAUUAAGGCAAUGACGUAUCCGAAGGUGUAUUACUGGUUGCCUGGGGUCACAAAUUAUUUUUCCAAUUAGUUUGCUGAACAAAGUUAAAUUAUUGCUUCCUAGAUACUCGAAAUAGAAGGUAAAUUAAGGAUAAGAAAAUGACAUGUCAAUUUCUCAUAAUGAAUAGUUGGCUUCCAAUAUUGUAGAAGGACCAGAAAAAAAACAAUAAAAGUGUUCAGCUUCAAAUAAUACUGAAACAAUAACCAAAUCCUGCUUCGUAAGUAGUGUCCAAACCAAAUCACAGAAGUUCUAAAAAGGACCAAUCGCUUGUUUCAAGAUGAACUUAGAGCUAUGUACUGGCAAAAUUCAAGAUAUUUGUGGAAUAAUUACUAGAGAACGAUACAAAUAUUCGUAGAAAUGUGAUUAAAACUGUUGUGAGAUAUUGUAAUAAGCUUGUACGACCUGUUCAAAACAAAUGUACGUUCAAACUGAUCUGUAGUAAAAAGUAAAAAAUAGUCUUACAACGAAGAAAACUGUGUAAAUAAUUCACAUGAGAAAUUAUAUUGGAAAUAAUGAAGAUUACAAAUUCAGCAGGUUCCCCUAGACUUUGAGGAAAUGGCACUUAUUUCUCCAGCUGGCUUGAUCCAUUCGACUUUGUUAUAGGAUAAAAUUGUAAGCAAUCUUCCCCUAGAGGAAAUUCACAUACUGAAUCUUAACGGAGGCUGGGAAUCCUUAGAUCUGAUUUUCUCAUAAUAAUAAUCUAGAUAUUCCAACGUAAUUUCUAGAUCCUGUUCUCCUGUGUAACUUUUAAAUCAAAAUACCAAAGAUGUGUUCAAUAUGAACAGUCAGAUACAGAGGAACUAUGGAAGGUUGAGGCACAGUCAUGCGGCAGCUAUUGGGUUUACCAAGAUUAUUCUUAAGAUAAAAUUGUAAGCGGUGACUAAUUCUAGAUUUUAGUAAUUAUCCUGCGCAUCCGCCAUUUUCUUCAGAAGUAUUUAAUUUUCCUGAAAAUUUCGAAGCCAUACAAAAAUGGUUUUUACUCUGAACUACCUCGAAUUAAAUUUCUAUCGGCCAAUCGAAUAUCGUCGAAGAACGAGAAAGAACAAUAAAAGAUUUUCUACAACAAAUCGAUGGAUGUAUACAGUUCCAUGGCAAUACAUUUUAUCCUUUGCAUGAAUAUAUAGUAUGGCCAAUGCAUCAGGACUUAUAUCUAAAAUGUUAUUGGCUUCGGAAAAAUGCCUUUUUAAAUUUGUACCUUCGCCAUUUUGUCAAGAAGGUCAGAAUUAUUUUUGACUGUGGACUAGCCAAAUGACCUAUAAGUUCAAGCCACUUAAAAAUAUAGAAGAAGAAAAUCUAUGUCGAAUCUGUGGUUGCGAAGUUGCGAUUUGCGAUUCUUUCUUGUUUUGUUUCUGUCUGGUUUCUGUAUUUUGUUUAUAUUCUCAUGAAAAUAAUAAAUCGGUGUUAGUAUACUCAAUAAUAUCAUACAAGAGAAUGGUGUCUUUCUGCAUUCUUCCACAGAAGAGGAGACCUGGAUCAUCAUCUAACUUUGAUGUUCGGCUUUCGAGGACCUGCAUAGCAUACAUGGGUACCCAAGGAAGUUACCACUCUCUAUGUCUAGGAGCUGGGUGAUGCUUAAUCUUCGACAAAGGGUUAAAUCAGGUGCAGGAAGAUGAAUACGCAUCAGGAGACAGAGAUUUAUGAUAAAUGGAGGCUAACAUGACAUAGUUGGGCUCUAUCUUGUAUUAAAUUUCUUAACACUACAUUACAAAGAAUUAAAUGGAUGAAAAAUUUAUGUUUUUUUCUCAGGGUUUUUGUGGAAAUCUGCAUUUGGUCUUCAAGAAGCUAUUUGAAUGGUACUUGGGAACACGGCACUGCAAAUAUUACUACACUGAGACACUGGCUGUGUUGAAACAAUUUUCACGCUUAAAAGAUGUUUUCCCAUUACUUCUCAAUAUUAAAAAGCAUAUUCUGUGGCAAUGUGCAGGUGAUUUGCAACAAACACUUAUAAGAAUGGGAUGUACCAACAGUGCCAUGCAGGUACUACUUUGCUGAGACAUUGACUGGCUUCAGGCAACUAUUCGCCUUAAAAAAUGUUUAUGGUACUGGUUCCGUAACAACUGCAGCUGUUUUUGGUACUCCUACUUAUUUGAUCCUCCUGUAUAUUCCCCAUUGAAGAUAUAGAACAGAACGCGGACUUGCGAUAGGAACACUUCGUUUUGAUCACACUGAUCCCAUUUUUUUAAUUCUACGAUUUUUUAAAGUAAAAUUUAGAUAAAAUGCUUAAAUUCUAUAAUUCGUACAAACGCAAAUGUUUUUAUAUAAUUUAAGUUAAAAUUCAAAUAUUUAUAUUUUUAAAACUAGUAUAUCGUCUAGAAUAUAUUUUAGUUAAUUCUAGUUGGUAAAAAAUUAUGGAAUUUAAAAUUAUCUAAAUUUUAUUUAUUGAUUAUUUGCAGUGUUAACACAACAGUGUUCCACACAACCUGUUCGGAAAGUGGAAAAUAUAUUUCAAAAUACAACUUAAUAGAAAAUAAAUAUUUUAAAUUGGAUCCCAAAAUAAUUUUUAAUGGACCGGUUGUGUGGAUACUUUGUAUGUCUUAUACCGUUAUAUAAGCGAUUCUCUCUCUAAAAAAAGGAUUUUAAAUUGAUAUUUUUUAUAUGGGCAUUAUAAAUGCAAAAGUGUAUUAAAUGGCGAAUGCGCCAGGAAAAGAGAAUAUUGAAAUUCAUAGAUUUUUUAAAAAAAAUGUAAAAGUAAGAUUGAGAUAAGAUAAAUUCUGUAAUUUAAAUAUUAAUUUCAAUAUAAAUGCGUUUAUUUUUAUAUAUUUUAUGCAACAAUAUUUUAAUUCAACCGGAAUAAUAAUUGAAUAUUUUUUAAACUAUCUUUUCUGAAAUAUGUCUUAGUUAUAAAAAAUUACAGGAUUCAAAAUUAUCUAAAUGUUAUUCAACUAUCAUUCGCAAGCUUU
Molecule: long non-coding RNA, 3130 nt
Organism: Sitophilus oryzae (rice weevil)
Lineage: Eukaryota; Metazoa; Arthropoda; Insecta; Coleoptera; Curculionidae
Exons: 12
Source: RefSeq, a predicted model, not a curated record